Molecule: ribosomal RNA, 1434 nt
Filed under: Micrococcus sp. OS2
Lineage: Bacteria; Bacillati; Actinomycetota; Actinomycetes; Micrococcales; Micrococcaceae
Description: bacterial SSU rRNA
Rfam family: Bacterial small subunit ribosomal RNA
Source: RNAcentral
GUGCUGCGGCAUGCUUACACAUGCAAGUCGAACGAUGAAGCCCAGCUUGCUGGGUGGAUUAGUGGCGAACGGGUGAGUAACACGUGAGUAACCUGCCCUUGACUCUGGGAUAAGCCUGGGAAACUGGGUCUAAUACUGGAUAUGACUUCUCACCGCAUGGUGGGGGGUGGAAAGAUUUAUUGGUCUUGGAUGGACUCGCGGCCUAUCAGCUUGUUGGUGAGGUAAUGGCUCACCAAGGCGACGACGGGUAGCCGGCCUGAGAGGGUGACCGGCCACACUGGGACUGAGACACGGCCCAGACUCCUACGGGAGGCAGCAGUGGGGAAUAUUGCACAAUGGGCGCAAGCCUGAUGCAGCGACGCCGCGUGAGGGAUGACGGCCUUCGGGUUGUAAACCUCUUUCAGUAGGGAAGAAGCGAAAGUGACGGUACCUGCAGAAGAAGCGCCGGCUAACUACGUGCCAGCAGCCGCGGUAAUACGUAGGGCGCGAGCGUUAUCCGGAAUUAUUGGGCGUAAAGAGCUCGUAGGCGGUUUGUCGCGUCUGCCGUGAAAGUCCGGGGCUUAACCCCGGAUCUGCGGUGGGUACGGGCAGACUAGAGUGCAGUAGGGGAGGACUGGAAUUUCCUGGUGUAGCGGUGAAAUGCGCAGAUAUCAGGAGGAACACCGAUGGCGAAGGCAGGUCUCUGGGCUGUAACUGACGCUGAGGAGCGAAAGCAUGGGGAGCGAACAGGAUUAGAUACCCUGGUAGUCCAUGCCGUAAACGUUGGGCACUAGGUGUGGGGGACAUUCCACGUUUUCCGCGCCGUAGCUAACGCAUUAAGUGCCCCGCCUGGGGAGUACGGCCGCAAGGCUAAAACUCAAAGGAAUUGACGGGGGCCCGCACAAGCGGCGGAGCAUGCGGAUUAAUUCGAUGCAACGCGAAGAACCUUACCAAGGCUUGACAUGUUCCUGACCGCCGUAGAGAUACGGUUUCCCCUUUGGGGCAGGUUCACAGGUGGUGCAUGGUUGUCGUCAGCUCGUGUCGUGAGAUGUUGGGUUAAGUCCCGCAACGAGCGCAACCCUCGUUCCAUGUUGCCAGCACGUAGUGGUGGGGACUCAUGGGAGACUGCCGGGGUCAACUCGGAGGAAGGUGGGGACGACGUCAAAUCAUCAUGCCCCUUAUGUCUUGGGCUUCACGCAUGCUACAAUGGCCGGUACAAUGGGUUGCGAUACUGUGAGGUGGAGCUAAUCCCAAAAAGCCGGUCUCAGUUCGGAUUGGGGUCUGCAACUCGACCCCAUGAAGUCGGAGUCGCUAGUAAUCGCAGAUCAGCAACGCUGCGGUGAAUACGUUCCCGGGCCUUGUACACACCGCCCGUCAAGUCACGAAAGUUGGUAACACCCGAAGCCGGUGGCCUAACCCUUGUGGGGGGAGCCGUCGAAGGGGGGAACCGGAUAU